This 467-nucleotide ribosomal RNA is filed under the name uncultured bacterium. Its description in RNAcentral is "partial 16S ribosomal RNA". It matches the Rfam family "Bacterial small subunit ribosomal RNA", at positions 28 to 507 of the family's 1533-position model. The record is from RNAcentral.
GACGAACGCUGGCGGCGUGCUUAACACAUGCAAGUCGAACGGAAAGGCCUCUUUCUGGGGGUACUCGAGUGGCGAACGCGUGAGUAACACGUGAGUAACCUGCCCUUGACUUUGUGGUAACUUCAGGAAACUGUGGCUAAUACCGGAUAGGAGCUCCUGCGGCAUGUGGGGGGUUGUAAAGUUUCGGCGGUUUGGGGUGGAAUCGCGGAUUAUCAGCUUGUUGGUGGGGGAGUGGGUUACCAAGGCUUUGUCGGGUAGCCGGCCUGGGAGGGGGACCGGCCAAAAUGGGACUGAGAUAAGGCCCAGAAUCCUAAGGGAGGAAGGAGGGGGGAAUAUUGCAAAAUGGGUGGAAGCCUGGUGCAGCAAAGCCGUGUGCGGGAUGACGGGCCUCGGGUUGUAAACCGCUUUCGCUCAUGACGAAGCUGUGUGUGACGGUAGUGGGUAAAGAAGCACCGGCUAACUACGUG